AUGAAACAGGGGGGAGGCAUUAAUACAGUCAAGGCAGUGCUACAUUAGGCCAACCUGUGCUUGAAUACCAACUUGACUUAUUAUCUAACUAUGUGAAUGUCUGCAGAGAGGAAGGAAAGAAGCACAUGAUAGAUUUUUAACCAUCAUUCAAAUGAUAUCUAUGAAUAUUAAAUUUUAGCAGUCAGUGGUGAUGUUCAGAAAAUACAAACUAUCAACUGAGAUUGAUUCUACAAUCAAUAGAAACUUUAGAAUUUCCCAUUUCAUGUGUAAAAGCCAAACGAAGCACACACACACAAAGCCAUUCUUAAACCAACAAGAUUUUUAGUUGUCAGAUAUGCGAUGUUCCAAUGAUGACAGGGGAAAAGCAUGCACACUGGCUCUUUGUUGGUGGAGGGUUUUUACCAAUAGAUUUUUAUUUAUAUCUGGAGCGGUUUUAUUUUUGUUCUAGUAACAAAUCAUAAAGCUUGUUAGCUUUCCUGACAUUAGUUUAGUUUUCCUAACCCAAAUUACAUUUUAGAUUAGAAAAAUAGCAAUUACUGUAAGAAUUUAUCUCAAAAUUUGUGUAGCAGAAAAUUACUCAUAGAGUGAGCUGUCUUCUAAAAGUAAAUGAAAAUAUGCAGUAAAACUGCAUGGAUGAUCAAAUUCAGUUCUAGUUCCUCGUAAAAAAAAAAAAUCUGCAUGUUGGACAAAAAUACGAAAAACUCAAUAAAGGCUUUAAUUAGCAAUCUAUGUCACAAGAAUGUUUGUUCAGUCUUGACAGAAGUCUAAGAACUGAGCAGAUUUAAAAAAUAUUUUCUCAAAUACUUUCCAAGAAGCAGCAGACAUUCAGAUCACUUAAUCAAUGUGACAAUCUAUGGCAUCCAUAAAUCCAGCUCAUAACGGCCACCAUCUGUUUUGAGGGAGAUUUGUGGAGCCUGGUACACUCACUGAUGGUUUCGUGUUGGUUACACUGAAGGGUGAACGAUAAAGGCGUAUUCACACUGCAUCGCAAAGGCUUUUGCUCCAACCAAGCAUUCACCAGGAGGCCCAGAUCCUUCCCUGACCAUGAGGACACAUUCACUCUUGAACCAUGUGAUGGGUGCACGUUAAUAACCUGCAGGUCAAGUUCACUCGAGAAGCCCUUUACAUGUUUGCAUUCAGAGGGCCGUGUGGAUAAUUGUCUGAAUAUUUUAUAACGACUCUUUCCUCACUUGAGUGUGAACAAACCAGCCCAUGAAAAUGACAGCCUUGGAAAGGCACAGUAGCCUGACCUAGGACGUGACUUUGGACCAGAUUUCUUGCUCUGAAGCUGAAUAACUGGGUUAGGAGCUAGAUCAUUUUAUUACCCAGAGUCCAGAUUCAAACGUGUUGGCCUGAAUUGUUUGCCUAUUCUCUAAACUCUUGGAGAUUAUUUACUUAACCACGUUCUCACUUUAUUUGUGUGUGUGUUUUAAAGCAACGAUUCUGAUCCUUAUAAAGAAAAAAGGAGGGAGAGUGGCUGUGAUGAGUGGGCUGCGGUUCUGUCAGGCUGAGACCAGCUCUAUUUCCACACAAACAUAUGGGAACUACUCCUCUGUGAAUAGCCGAAAGAGCUGUUUCGAAACUUCACCAGGGACUAGAGUUUGUCCUUGCACCAAAAAUAGACGUGUGGGCUAGUUCCUUCUGCUCAUCAUGAAUAGUUAUGAGCCAGGCAGCCCGGGCUGCUCUGCUGAACAGCUAAGAACCCCGUGCAGCCAGACUUAACAACCAGGGCGCUGCUGUCCGAGGGACUCAGGAAGCCAGCGAAGGCACGGCUGGGCUCCGCUGUGAUGGGCACAAAGACUCAGAACGUGAUUAAACGUUGUUCACGGGGACAAUAGAAGCUGGAGGUGACUUGCUUGGGUGAGAAGGAUGAGCGUCCAGGACCAUGAAGCCCAGCGAUGGGCAACGGCACCAUGUGGAGGACCCCCGGAGGCUCCAGGCAGUCUGGGUUUGUCUUGCAGAUGUUUUGUCAGAUUUGCUCAACACAAGCGCACAUGUGUCUGGCUGCCUCCUAUGCAACGACUAGCAAGCACGCACCUGCACCGGAGCAUGGACUAAAGGCCUUUCACAGAGACGCUCACAGUCUUCUCACCAGGUUUUAUCUGGUGAGAUGCGACGAGACACACGAAGGAGACAUCCGACAGACCCUGGGCGUCUCUGAGCUCGACUCCGAGCUCCAGGUUCCUGCUCCCGGCUAUCUGACGCCUUCACUGGAGGCUUAAAAAGCAUCCCCGAUUCGACGUGGCCCACACGAGUCUUUUCAUUCUGAUCAGCAUCUCCCUCCUCUGCCCUACAAAUAAAGUCCACAGCCUGCAUCUAUCUUCCCAGUUUUGGCAAAUGGCACCAAUGUUUAUCUAACUGCUUACACCAAGCAUUUCGGAGUUAUUCCUGAUUCCCUCGUAUCUGUCACCAGCAAUUCAUCCUGUUUAAAAACACAGUAGGGCCAAAGGUGUCUGUGGGAAAUGUAACCCAUGGUCAAUGGCAUCUGACUUCCCCCCAGCAGGUCUUGGAGGAUACUGGUGAUUCAGGAGGUGGCUCUUUGUGAAUAACAAAAGGACUAAUUUUAUAUACAAAGGCGGGGGAGGAAGUUAAAGCCAACUGUGGCCGGGUAGGGAGGGGAGACCCCACAGCCCUUCCUUCUCAUCUUCUACAUCAGCCAUCCUCAAAUGACAACGUCAGGGCCACCAUUAGGGUCCCCGGCAUUUUUCUCCUCUGGUUCCUAGACUCUGAUUCUCCUCGCCUUACUCUUGGCUGAAUUGUUACAAUGUAAAAUGCAAAUACCGGGGUGUCCUGCACAGUCGUGAACUUGCACCUCUUUAGUCAACCACCUUGGCCGUUCAUCCUCUCAACAGUCAGGCAUGGGGCAGCUACAGUGCUGGGCACUCCUGCCACGGGGGUGAAAUCGGCUGUGACCUCCAAGACCAGACUGAGUGGGUAUCCGCAGCCGAGUGGGAGGGGGCUCUGGUGGAGGGGUGCUGAAGGAGCAGUGGGAGCUGAGGGCAAUGCGAGUCUUUCCUGAUCAGCCCACGGGUUUUGAAGCACACAACCCAUUUCCCGGUGUGGAUUUCUUCUCACCGGUUGUUCGGAAGAAGGUUUGACCUCCAGGUGGGGUAUUUCGGUGGCUGCAAAACCCAAGCUACUUCCUUAUAAGGCGCCUCUUUAUUCUCAGGUUAAUAGGAAACAUUCUGUUGGCUGAAUCCAGCCAAAGAGAACGCUACCUCCAGUGCGCAUAAAAGCAUAUUACUUGGUAUCUGUGUCUGCAAUGAGGCAUGACAUGGAUAUUUAGGUUCAAAGAGUGAGAAUUAUGUCACAUCGAGAAUGGGUUGUCAAUUUCAGACCGUCAUUAAAAAAAAAAAGAAAUCCUCAAA
Molecule: long non-coding RNA, 3368 nt
Organism: Sus scrofa (pig)
Lineage: Eukaryota; Metazoa; Chordata; Mammalia; Artiodactyla; Suidae
Source: RefSeq, a predicted model, not a curated record